This 553-nucleotide ribosomal RNA is filed under the name Microbacterium testaceum. Its description in RNAcentral is "bacterial SSU rRNA". It matches the Rfam family "Bacterial small subunit ribosomal RNA", at positions 47 to 614 of the family's 1533-position model. Lineage: Bacteria; Bacillati; Actinomycetota; Actinomycetes; Micrococcales; Microbacteriaceae. The record is from RNAcentral.
UCUAACCAUGCAGUCGUACCAGUGUAGCCAGUCUUGCUUGGUGGAUCAGUGGCGAACGGGUGAGUAACACGUGAGCAACCUGCCCUGGACUCUGGGAUAAGCGCUGGAAACGGCGUCUAAUACUGGAUAUGAGACGUGAUCGCAUGGUCGUGUUUGGAAAGAUUUUUCGGUCUGGGAUGGGCUCGCGGCCUAUCAGCUUGUUGGUGAGGUAAUGGCUCACCAAGGCGUCGACGGGUAGCCGGCCUGAGAGGGUGACCGGCCACACUGGGACUGAGACACGGCCCAGACUCCUACGGGAGGCAGCAGUGGGGAAUAUUGCACAAUGGGCGAAAGCCUGAUGCAGCAACGCCGCGUGAGGGAUGACGGCCUUCGGGUUGUAAACCUCUUUUAGCAGGGAAGAAGCGAAAGUGACGGUACCUGCAGAAAAAGCGCCGGCUAACUACGUGCCAGCAGCCGCGGUAAUACGUAGGGCGCAAGCGUUAUCCGGAAUUAUUGGGCGUAAAGAGCUCGUAGGCGGUUUGUCGCGUCUGCUGUGAAAUCCCGAGGCUCAACC